RNAcentral lists this long non-coding RNA (1007 nucleotides) under Homo sapiens (human). RNAcentral describes it as "HSALNT0004209". Lineage: Eukaryota; Metazoa; Chordata; Mammalia; Primates; Hominidae. The record is from RNAcentral.
UACAGCAUGCUAUGGAAAUAUGCCAGAGGGUGACUCCAUGAGGGUGUGCCCCAGAAAUCAGGGAAAGUCUUUACUAAGAAAGUGAGAUUUCAAAGAUUUGGGAGGACUACAAAUUGCCCAUACAAAGCGGGAUGGGGGAGUAGGGUGAACUCAAUACAAAAAUGUUAGCUUCUUUCGGUGAAGGUCUUCCAAACGCAAGUAUCUAACAUUCACCUUAUGCCUGCAGAUACUCUACAUUUGUGUUUUGGCAUUUAAUUUAAUUUCACAGCGAUCAUUCGACGUCAGAAUUUUGGUUCCCAUUCUACAAGUGAGAAAAUUGAGGUUCAGGGAGGUCAAAGGACCCGUUGAAGGCCAUGAAGUAGGAUGCGCCAGAAGCCAGGCUUGAGAGCUGCAUACUCGGCGAGAGUUUCUCCAAGGCAAAGCCUGAAACAGGAACCACAGGCUCUCCAGGGCCCUGGGAGAGUGGGUUGAGAGAAUGGAAGUGAAGAGGAAGGCUUCACCAUCACCUUAACUAACAUGUGUUUCCUACCGUUAAAUAAACAUUAUAGGAGGCCACUGUUUUGGACUAAGUUUCUGCACCAGGCCCCAGCCGACCAGACUAAAAAUCAAAAGAGUCACCCAUGCUAAAGUUCCACAUUACCAAAUGGAAACUGAGUUGCCAUCUAACCUGGGGAGAAAUCAAGAGACAACAGCCAAUUUCCCAAACAGGCCGGUUUAAAUCCUCAAUCAACAUCACAUUUCCCUGCUUUAAUCCUACGCAAAAAAAGGCGGCUUGAAAGAACCUGAUAGUAACCACUUGGUUAUUAUUCUAUUGGUCUGUCCUGCCUUACAAGAAAAGUAAAAGUAACUUUGAAAAAUAACUAUAUACUCUUUUUUUUUUUUUUGAGAUAGAGUCUCGCUCUGUCGCCCAGACUGGAGUGCAGUGGUGCAAUCUCGGCUCACUGCAACCUCUGCUUCCCGGGUUCAAGCGAUUCUCCUGCCUCAGCCUCCCAAGUAAGUGGGAUCAC